UUGGUGUGGGUUUGAGUAGCAUACUAAAAGAACAGGUUGGUUGAAAACGUGGUUCAAUUUUAGGGUUGUGGAUGUGUCUUUUCUUUAUCAGCAGUUACACUUGUGCAUGAUAUGACCAUCUUAGUCUUAUUGCAGGUAAAGUUGCAGGGUCAAAUAAUUUGCAGUUCAAAUGCCGGGUGUCAACUGUCAAGUGUCAACUCUUAUUGAUAUCUCAUAAUUUCUUUUGAACUGUACAAGGGAUACAUAUCUUUACCAGGUCCCUUUACUCUUUUUGCUUAUAAAACAGAAAAAGGAAAGUGAACAACUUUUUAAUAAAGAAACUUCCCUCUCACAUGGUUAGACAAUAAAGGAACUGGGGGGGAUUGGAGUUGGACAACUCCAAUGUUGAGAAACGCGAGUUUUGUACCAUCCAGAUUCCAGGGCGGAUUUUGUUAUCUUCUUCCUUUUGGAUAUUAGUCUGUUUUGUGAUGUUAUCGUUGUUGGCGGUGCAGUCAUUGCUCUUGUUGGCGAUUUUUCCUAGAGAAGUCCACCAGCUUUAGUUUAGUUUAUUUAUGCUGAAGACGAAACUAAGAGACGCAUUCUCC
RNAcentral lists this long non-coding RNA (584 nucleotides) under Manihot esculenta (cassava). RNAcentral describes it as "long non-coding RNA (MESC_LNC008344)". Lineage: Eukaryota; Viridiplantae; Streptophyta; Magnoliopsida; Malpighiales; Euphorbiaceae. The record is from RNAcentral.